AACGAACGCUGGCGGCAUGCCUAACACAUGCAAGUCGAACGAGAUCUUCGGGUCUAGUGGCGCACGGGUGCGUAACGCGUGGGAAUCUGCCCUUUGGUUCGGAAUAACAGUUGGAAACGGCUGCUAAUACCGGAUGAUGACGAAAGUCCAAAGAUUUAUCGCCAGAGGAUGAGCCCGCGUAGGAUUAGCUAGUUGGUGUGGUAAAGGCGCACCAAGGCGACGAUCCUUAGAUGGUCUGAGAGGAUGAUCAGCCACACUGGGACUGAGACACGGCACAGACUCCUACCGGAGGCAACAGUGGGGAAUAUUGGACAAUGGGCGAAAGCCUGAUCCAGCACUGCCGCGUGAGUGAUGAAGGCCUUAGGGUUGUAAAGCUCUUUUACCCGGGAUGAUAAUGACAGUACCGGGAGAAUAAGCUCCGGCUAACUCCGUGCCAGCCGCCGCGGUAA
This 449-nucleotide ribosomal RNA is filed under the name uncultured bacterium. RNAcentral describes it as "partial 16S ribosomal RNA". It matches the Rfam family "Bacterial small subunit ribosomal RNA", at positions 29 to 523 of the family's 1533-position model. The record is from RNAcentral.